CAUGCACCAGUGGGGUCCUUUGGCCGAGCCUGUACCCUCUUGCAAGCCGGGACCCCUCAGGGGAUGUCUGCAGGCCAGGCCAAGGGACUCCACUGGUGCACA
Molecule: microRNA precursor, 102 nt
Filed under: Myotis lucifugus (little brown bat)
Lineage: Eukaryota; Metazoa; Chordata; Mammalia; Chiroptera; Vespertilionidae
Description: mir-9193 microRNA precursor family
Rfam family: mir-9193 microRNA precursor family
Source: Rfam by way of RNAcentral